UACGUAGGGUGCAAGCGUUGUCCGGAAUUAUUGGGCGUAAAGAGCUCGUAGGCGGUCUGUCGCGUCUGCUGUGAAAACUCAGGGCUUAACCCUGGGCCUGCAGUGGGUACGGGCAGACUAGAGUGCGGUAGGGGAGACUGGAAUCCCUGGUGUAGCGGUGAAAUGCGCAGAUAUCAGGAGGAACACCGGUGGCGAAGGCGGGUCUCUGGGCCGUAACUGACGCUGAGGAGCGAAAGCAUGGGGAGCGAACAGG
Molecule: ribosomal RNA, 253 nt
Filed under: uncultured bacterium
Lineage: Bacteria
Description: partial 16S ribosomal RNA
Rfam family: Bacterial small subunit ribosomal RNA
Source: RNAcentral